GUGGGGAAUAUUGGACAAUGGGCGAAAGCCUGAUCCAGCCAUGCCGCGUGUGUGAAGAAGGUCUUCGGAUUGUAAAGCACUUUAAGUUGGGAGGAAGGGCAGUAAGUUAAUACCUUGCUGUUUUGACGUUACCGACAGAAUAAGCACCGGCUAACUUCGUGCCAGCAGCCGCGGUAAUACGAAGGGUGCAAGCGUUAAUCGGAAUUACUGGGCGUAAAGCGCGCGUAGGUGGUUUUGUAAGUUGGAGGUGAAAUCCCCGGGCUCAACCUGGGAACUUCCUCCAAAACUGCAUGACUAGAGUACGGUAGAGGGUAGUGGAAUUUCCUGUGUAGCGGUGAAAUGCGUAGAUAUAGGAAGGAACACCAGUGGCGAAGGCGACUACCUGGACUGAUACUGACACUGAGGUGCGAAAGCGUGGGGAGCAAACAGGAUUAGAUACCCUAGUAGUCC
This 450-nucleotide ribosomal RNA is filed under the name uncultured bacterium. RNAcentral's name for it is "partial 16S ribosomal RNA". It matches the Rfam family "Bacterial small subunit ribosomal RNA", at positions 354 to 796 of the family's 1533-position model. The record is from RNAcentral.